Long non-coding RNA from Lucilia sericata (common green bottle fly), 1348 nucleotides. RefSeq lists it as uncharacterized. The transcript has 2 exons. The record is from RefSeq and is a predicted model, not a curated record. NCBI's taxonomy places the organism in Eukaryota, Metazoa, Arthropoda, Insecta, Diptera, Calliphoridae.
UUAUUUUUUUUUACUAUUGGCAAAUAUCAUUUUACACACUUUUCAUGAUUUGCAAUACUUAUUUAUAAUGUCCAUAACUAAUAAUACAUAUUCAAAUCACAAUAAGUUUUUUUUUCAACAAGUAUGAAAUAAACCCAACGAUCAUCAACCUUCAAAAUAUCAACUAAAAUGUGACAUAUUGCAAGGAAAAACGUAAACACAAAACAAAUGUUGAUAAUAAAAACAAUAAGACACUACAAAAAAUAAGCACUUUUAAAAACUUGGCAAUUUUUUCACAAAGAAAGAAAUUAAAACUACAAUAGUAAAAUAAACAUACAAAAUUAUUUCAAAGUAUUCAAAUGAAAAACAAAAUAAAAUAGUGGUAGAUGAAAUCGGCCAAUAACGAAUGAAUAAACAAACAAAUAUAAAGAUAUACUCAGAUAGUUAAGACUUUGAAGCACUCUACUAUAAGUAUAGUGGAAUUAGGUCAAGUUUAUGGACCUUAUGGUCGGAACUGGAUUAUUGUAUAUAAUCUAAACUAAAAUAUGAAUAAGAAACAGGUAUGUUAAGGACUUUGCUAAUAGUACAAACAUUUUAUUUAAUAUUUAUUUAUUGUAAAAUAAAUUUACAAGAAAUACAGAUUUUUAAAAUUAAGACUGGCUACUAAGGCCUUAAUUAAUCAAGAAAAAAAUAGAACAAACAUUUUAAACAAUUGAACAAAGUGAAAAUAUUUAGUUGACCUAUAGACUAAUAGACAACUUAAGAUCAUGUGGUGAUACAAAGUCUAUCGUUCUCCCUAUAAAAGCCGUAGGGUAUACAAAUACAAAAUAUGAUUAGACACACACCGACAUACUUUUGCUAUUAUAAAAACAAAUGCUACUACGUUCAAAAAUUAGCAACAAGUUAACAGAAACAUUUUUUGGUUUCUUUAUAACACAAUGAUGUACGAAUUGUUGGCAUAAACACGUCAAAAUAUAAUAAUAUCUAAUGCAAUCAAACCACAUAUAUAAAUUUUAAACUAGUACGUGGAGAGGAGCAAUUUAGACACACGCAAAUGCUCUUAGAGUGAAUCGAAAUAGACGCAGUCAGCAGUGUGUCAUUGUUUAGUACAACAUUUUUUUCUGGGUCUGUUGUACUGAGUUUCUUUUGGUUUUUAAUGAAAAAGUUAUCGUAUGAUUUUUUUCAACCAAUCAGCGCUCGAUGCCGUUUGCAAAAAUGACGUAACGCCAACACGACGACGUACAAUGUUUGUACGUCGACAACAAACAGAGUCAGUAAAUGCUAGUAGUACGUUUGUUUUAACCAAAUGUCAGUAGAAAGCCGAAAUGGUAGAGAGAAAUAAAACAAAACUCAAAUAAAAAUACUCAUA